This is an RNA transcript of Trichosurus vulpecula (common brushtail), 2878 nucleotides long. It is a transcript of the gene named doublecortin domain containing 2, with no coding region annotated. The transcript is spliced from 12 exons. Lineage: Eukaryota; Metazoa; Chordata; Mammalia; Diprotodontia; Phalangeridae. The record is from RefSeq and is a predicted model, not a curated record.
GCCCUCGUGCUGUAGAGUGGCCGUAACAGCAGUAAGAACAGCAGCAGCGAAGUCAGCCGCCGGCCCGCCGCGCUAGCGCAAGCGUAGCAGCUGCGCGAGCCACCCGCCCGCCUCCAGCCCACCAUCCCGCGAGCGCCUGAUUCCCGGGGAACAGCCACCUGCAGCAGCAGCCUCUCCAGCCGCUACCGUCGCCGCCGCCGCCUGGCGGGGAGCACCAGGGCAAGGCCCACUUGCCUGGUUAAGCCGAAGACCCAGCUGCACCUGGUUGCAGCCUCCUGGGCCACUCAAGUAUCGAGAGGCUUCAGAAGAACUCAUUGUUAUAGAAAUAUAGCUAUAGACUGUGCCUGAGGCUCUGACUCCUGAGAAGCCAGCCAGCACCAGAGGAAAGAAGCAGAAAAGAGGUGAUCCUGUGGUAGAAGAUGAGCAGCACCAGUGCAAGAUCCAACUGCCUGACUCAGCCAGUAGUGAAGAGUGUGCUGGUGUAUCGCAAUGGGGACCCCUUCUUUGCUGGACGCAGAGUGGUCAUCCAUGAGAAAAAGGUGUCCAGUUUUGAUGUCUUUCUGAAGGAGGUGACAGGUGGGGUUCAGGCCCCCUUUGGAGCUGUCCGAAACAUCUAUACCCCUCGGUCAGGCCACCGAAUCCGGAAGCUAGACCAGAUUCAGAGUGGGGGGAACUACGUGGCAGGGGGCCUGGAAGCCUUCAAGAAACUCAACUACCUAGACAUAGGAGAACCAAAGAAGAGAUCAGUGGAAGUUGUUAAUUCAGAGGUAAAACCUGUAAUCCACAGUAGGAUCAACGUAUCAGCACGUUUCAGGAAACCACUUCAGGAGCCCUGUACUAUCUUCUUGAUUGCUAAUGGAGAUCUUAUAAGUCCAGCAUCGCGCCUCUUCAUCCCUAGAAAAGCCUUGAGUCAGUGGGAUCUUGUACUUGAAAUGGUCACACAGAAAAUAACUUUAAGGAGUGGAGCUGUGCAUAGACUCUAUACUUUAGAAGGAAAACUUGUCCAAAGUGGGUCGGAGUUGGAGAAUGGACAGUUUUAUGUAGCAGUUGGCAGAGACAAGUUUAAGAAAUUGCCGUACAGUGAUUUACUUUUUGAUAAAUCAACAAUGAGAAGGCCUUAUGGUCAGAAAGCCUCUUCAUUACCUCCUAUUGUUGGAUCCAGAAAAUCUAAAGGGAGUGGAAAUGAUCGUCAGUCCAAGUCAACUAUUGGUUCCAGUGACAACUCAUCCCCUCUGCCUCCUAAGAGAAGGGGAAAGAAGGAGGAAGUUUUGAAUUCAGAAAAACCUGGUAAAGUGACACAAAAUACAAACCCAAAGACUCCACCAACUGUGGUAACACCACCAAACAAUGAUGAAGGCAUUUUCAAAGCGGGAACAGAGAGAUCUGAAAUGGAGGGGGCAGCAGAAGUACAAGAAGAUGAAGACACUCAAGUUGAGAUUCCAGUCGAUCAGAGGCCAGCAGAAAUAAUAGAUGAGGAAGAAGGUGGAGGGAAAGAAAAUGAGGAUAUAGAAGAAGAGAAGGAAGAAGAGAAGGAAGCUUUACCAGAAGUAAAUGGUGAUAUUGAAGAAAAAGAAGUGGAAGAAGGUCCUAAAGAAGGGAAUAUUGGUCCCCCUAGAGUCAAUGGUGGCACAAAUGAAGAAAAUGGUGAGGAACUGGAUGAAGUUAACAACGAUGAGCAUCAUCAAGUGAAAGAGGAAGAGAUAACAUUAGCAAAAGGUGAUGGUGAUGGUGAUGGUCCAAAGGAGGAUGAAUCAGAUCCUCAAAGACCACCAAGGCCUGAAGUAAAAAUCACUAGUCCGCAGGAAAAUGAUAACAAUGAACAAAACAAGGAGUAUGCUGCUGUGGCAUAGACGCUUAAAAAUGUGGAUUAUAAGAAAAAUUAAGGGUUUCAUAUGAUACUUGAAUUCUAAACACUGUUAUUUGUGGUUGUUACAAUAAUGUGGCAAUAUGGCUGAAUACUACCUAUCGAGUUUCAAAAUUAUAAUGAAGAAUUGAAAGAAUAAUCACAUUGAUAUCUAUUUCCCCAACUGGUGUGUUUUAAAGCCAUCUAAAAGAGUUAAAUGUUCUCAAUUAUCUGCAUGUUAGAAACAAAGUUUCUCACAAAAUACAGAUUCUCAGAAAACCAAGGGAAAAGACAAAGAAGGUAUAUAAAAAUAUUUACCCCACUGCCCAGUUCAUUAGGUUUGCUAUAUAAUUCCCACUAGAAAAAUAAAAUUUGACAGCUUUGACCUUAGAGAUUAGUUGGUCCAACCUCUUCAUAUUUCAGGUGAGGAAUUUGUGGCAAAGAGUGGAAAAGUGGCUUGUUAAAGAUUGCAUGACUAGUUAGUGACAGGACUAGAAUACAAAGCCACUGACUUUCUAUUAUACUGCAUUGACCCGAUUGCUUUAUAUCUCAGCUUAUUUUCACAAAUGGGUCAAUUAAAGUUACAAGUGACAAAAAAGUAAAACGACUUUUCUAUUUUAGUUAUGAGUAAUAUUUGCUACUUUAAAUCUUUAAAAUAGCAAACAGUUAAGAGAAAAAUUUGGGGAGAAAUGCUGGAACAUUAAUGAAACCUAUUUCUGAGUAACCUCUUACCUUAACUUUUGUUUUGUUAGUAACUAAAUGUGAAAUAAUCAGAACUUGUAGAGCCCAUUUGGCCUCAAGAUUGCAUUUACUUUGGUAGAUAUUUGGAAAAUAUGUAUUGCCAUUAGUUUUUUGAAUGACUAAGGAAUAACACUACUGCGCUAAUAGAAAUAAUGCAUUUUUCUUAUAUGAGUAUUUUCAUUAAUUAGACAGGCAAUAGAUGAGACUGUACUUCUUGGAUACAAGUAUUGUUACAGCUAUUGCAUUUUAUGGUUGUAAGUGCCUUUAACUGGUUAAUUAGUAAAUCAUUCAUUC